AGAGUUUGAUCCUGGCUCAGAACGAACGUUAGCGGCGCGCCUAACACAUGCAACUCGUACGGGACUGGGGGCAACUCCAGUUCAGUGGCGCACGGGUGAGUAACACGUAGGUAAUCUCCCCUCGAGUGGUGGAUAACCUUCCGAAAGGAGGGCUAAUACAGCAUGAGACCACGGCCUCGAAAGAGGCAGGGGUUAAAGCGGAGGACCGAAAGGCUUCGCGCUCGAGGAUGAGCCUGCGGCCCAUCAGGUAGUUGGUGGGGUAAUGGCCUACCAAGCCUAAGACGGGUAGCUGGUCUGAGAGGAUGGUCAGCCACACUGGAACUGAGACACGGUCCAGACUCCUACGGGAGGCAGCAGUGGGGAAUCUUGCGCAAUGGGCGAAAGCCUGACGCAGCGACGCCGCGUGGGUGAUGAAGGCCUUCGGGUUGUAAAGCCCUGUGGGGAGGGAAGAAUAAGCCGUGGCUAAUAUACCACGGU
Molecule: ribosomal RNA, 477 nt
Filed under: uncultured bacterium
Lineage: Bacteria
Description: bacterial SSU rRNA
Rfam family: Bacterial small subunit ribosomal RNA
Source: RNAcentral